UUGUAUAUUUGACCUAUCAUAUCUAUCAUCUUUUCUGGUUAACUCUUUAUUGCAGGUCUCUGCAUCAAAAACUUUAAUCACACCUAUCCAAUGCAAGUCGUUGUGGAAGCAAUUUAACACUGAGACUGAAUACAUUGUUACACAAGCCAUUGCUGCUCAGGCACGUUAUCUUACAUCUUGCACAUAACUUUGUGCUUUUUAGGACUUCAUUCCUUGUAUAUUUAAUUUUUACCAUCGCACAGACAUAUAGUAAUAUUUUAUAUAUUAUUAAUUUUGCACCUUUUUAACUAAAGCUCACACGUUAAUUGCACAUUGCACUUAAAGUCCCAAUCAACCUUGGUUCUUCUUUUAUGAUUUUCACCAUUGACAACACUUUUCAGUACAUUUGAAUCAGACAAAUAUAAAAGUGUGACUCACGUUACACUGCUGCUUUAUAAUUUGAUUCCAGCGAUUCUCUGAGCCUGUCAAUUGUAUGUUAACAUAGCAGUUUUUCUUACCAUCUGCGGUGACAUCUCUAUUUGAUAUAUUCAUCAGGAUAAAAAUUCUCUUCACGGUUGUAAUAUUUGUAGACUCCUUUGUUAGCUUCUGACCAUCCGUUUUUUUUUUUAACUUCAGGAGGCUAGCAGGAGAAAUAACAAUUGGCUUCCACCUCCAUGGGCAGUUGUCGCGUUGCUUAUUCUGGGGUUCAAUGAAUU
RNAcentral lists this long non-coding RNA (695 nucleotides) under Nicotiana tabacum (common tobacco). RNAcentral's name for it is "long non-coding RNA (NTAB_LNC006958)". The record is from RNAcentral. Lineage: Eukaryota; Viridiplantae; Streptophyta; Magnoliopsida; Solanales; Solanaceae.